GAAGUGCCUUCGGGAGCGCAGUGACAGGUGGUGCAUGGCUGUCGUCAGCUCGUGUCGUGAGAUGUUGGGUUAAGUCCCGCAACGAGCGCAACCCACGUCUUUAGUUGCCAGCAUUUAGUUGGGCACUCUAGAGAGACCGCCGGUGAUAAACCGGAGGAAGGUGUGGAUGACGUCAAGUCAUCAUGCCCCUUACAUCCUGGGCUACACACGUACUACAAUGCUACGGACAAAGGGCAGCAAACUCGCGAGAGCUAGCAAAUCCCAUAAACCGUGGCUCAGUUCAGAUCGUAGGCUGCAACUCGCCUACGUGAAGGAGGAAUCGCUAGUAAUCGCAGGUCAGCAUACUGCGGUGAAUACGUUCCCGGGUCUUGUACACAC
RNAcentral lists this ribosomal RNA (378 nucleotides) under uncultured bacterium. Its description in RNAcentral is "bacterial SSU rRNA". It matches the Rfam family "Bacterial small subunit ribosomal RNA", at positions 1011 to 1390 of the family's 1533-position model. The record is from RNAcentral.